GUGAACGUUUUUAAUCUUGCCAUGCUCUCAAAACAGUGCUGGCGGCUGAUAGAGGACCCAGAGUCUCUUUGUGCCAGGAUUCUUAAGGCGAAAUAUUAUCCUAACUGUAGCUUACUCCAAGCAACACUAAAGAGUGGCUCAUCGUUCACCUGGUAGAGUAUUAUGAAAGGGUUGGAAAACUUCAAGUUGGGAUAUAUCUGGAGAAUUAGAACGGGGGAAAGAGUGAAUAUAUGGUCUGACCCUUGGAUCCCAGUCACUCUGUGCAUUUUAAAACCGAACCAAAAAACCAUACCAAAAAUAAACCGAACCGAACCGAUUUUUUUGUUUUUAUGGUUUCUGGUUUCGGUAUGGUAUGAACUUUUCAUACCGAUUUGA
Molecule: ribosomal RNA, 375 nt
Filed under: Triticum aestivum (bread wheat)
Lineage: Eukaryota; Viridiplantae; Streptophyta; Magnoliopsida; Poales; Poaceae
Description: partial small subunit ribosomal RNA
Source: RNAcentral